This is a long non-coding RNA of Mus musculus (house mouse), 3534 nucleotides long. RefSeq annotates it as predicted gene, 32847. Lineage: Eukaryota; Metazoa; Chordata; Mammalia; Rodentia; Muridae. The transcript has 3 exons. The record is from RefSeq and is a predicted model, not a curated record.
AAUGCUGGGAUUAAAGGUGUGUGUCAUCAGGCCAAAAAGACUGUGUUAAUGUCAGUUGUAUUUACUGACAGUCUGAGCACUUAAUCUCUAGCCCCAUUUUGGAACUGGUAUGGUUAUCAUGCAAUAACACAUUUUAAAAAAUACUUAACAUUAGUUUGUUUCUUUUUUUUUUCCGGAAUCUCUAAACGAGAGUUGUUCCUUAGUUGCUACUGAACUGAACAUAAUAAUUGACAAAGUAGUUAAAGCAAAUGAUAAAAUAAGUAUUGGGUACUAGUGGUCAGAAGUGGUGAACCAUGUCUAUCCCUCAGAGGGCUGAGACAGGAGGAUGGUAAGUCUGUGGCUAGCCUGGGCUACAUAGCAAGUUUCUGUCUCAUAAAACCUGAAAACCAAAUAAAUAGCUAGCAAUUUAUCUGCAUUUGCCACAUUUUAAGUUAAAGCAAAGAUAGGGUUCUAGUUUUCUCAGACUUUUAAGCAAUCUAAGAAUUUAACAAAAGCACAUUUUCUUGUUGUUUGUUUUUUUUCCCCUUUUCUGUUUUUUAAAUUUAAUUUAAUGUUGUUUUUCAUUUGAGACAGAAUUUCAUUGUGUAACCUGGGUUGGCCAACUAAUUGUGUAUGCCAGAUUGGUCUCAAACUUCCGGCAGGCCUCUGCUUCUGGAGAGCUGAGAAUCCAGAGUGCCUUCUACAAAGUACCUGUGGAAGAAGACCAAUAGAUCAACUUUUUUGUGACUCCUGCCUUUGACAUUUUAUGUAAGAAGUCCUUACCUUGUUCAAGUGUCAGUUCAGAUCCAUGGGAGCUAUGCAAGGAUCCCGCACUUGACAACCAACGCCUUUUUUGUGGCACGAGCUUUGUCUUUAGCUCUGGGCUGAAGUUCCUGUUCGUCAUCUGCAGCUGUGGUAUUCCACGUCUCUCCCAGCUUCUUUGCAGCAUCACCAACGGAUAAACCAGGAUGUUCUCCUUGAAGUUGGAGCGAUACUCAGAAAAGAGGCCAAGCAAGGUUAAUGGGAACUCCGGAACACUGUUUCCUCUGAGAGGGAUCUGGGUUCUCCUGUCUUUUUCAUAACAAGUCUGUCCCCUUGUCUUUAGCAGACAUGAUCUUUCACCUCUCUGACUACGACUUAGAAAAACCCUGAAGUUGGCUGAGGCAACGGACGAUUUCUUCUUAUCCCCCUCACCAAGUUUCCACAAAGAAUGUGUAUCCUGACGUGUUACCUGUCGGCUUCGGAGGCUUUACUUGGCUGGAGAGGAGAGUCUUGUCAGCAAGUCACAGAGUCGCCCAGCGUGUACUCAGUUCUCACUCGCCCUGGUGCUAUGCCUAUGGAAUGUACUGUGAUGCCCAUGAGAGCAGAGCCAGAUGCCAAAGACAUCACAUUUUUGCAAGAACUUUGGCAUCUCUUUCAGAACCAGAAUGCUUAGACUAUUGCAUAGGAAACUCUCCAGUCAGACUUCUCAAAAGACUAGGCUGGGGUAUGCAGGAAGCUGAGUGCUGAGGGUUGAUAUUCAGAGCCUCUCCUGGCUGACUAUAUAGGGUAGAGUCCAUAUGAUAAUGGGUUUGUGUGACAUUCCAAUACAGAUUCAAUACCUCCCAACUAGCAUUGUUUCAAGUUUCUCUAGAAUGAGAAGUCCAGGCCCCACUUACUGCUGUCAGGAAGGAUAAUUAUUUCUCACCAAGCUACUGGGUGUACACUGAUGUUUAGACAAAGCCUAAGGCCUGCCUAUUAUGUGUUCCCCUGGAGUUGGUUAGCCUUAUGUUUUCAUUUGUCAUGCUCUGGCCUGGCUGUGUGCUAUCAUUCUCUAUAAGUAUAGGUUACAUCUCAUGUGUGGCUUCUGACAUAGCCAUGACCCUUACUCUACUCAUGCUCUCUAUCUUUGCUGUCCUCUGGACCAGCUGGAAUACCACCGUUUCUCACACGCCUGUGCUGGGGCUUUUUUGUUCAUCUGCUUCAGGUGAGGAUGUACCCCCUUCCUCCUUCACAAUCCUCUGUCCCAUUGCUGACUACAUUUUUUUCUCUCUCUCUCCCUAAUGGCAGUAAAUGUGUAGCUAACGUGAACUCCACCCUACUUCAGCUCUAAAUUGUGUCCCCAUGCUCAUUCCCUUGUGUCAUCGUUCGAACAAGCCCCACACAUUCUUUUACAGAUUCUAAUCAUAUACAUGGUCCUAACUGCCACUCCAGAAGCUAGCUCUGUGACCCAAACCACCUGCCAUUAACUUUGACAAGAUGACAUUCUCCUUGGUCCAGGAACAACCAACCCAGAUGUAAACUUUCCCAUUCCCCUACCUUGACUGUGUUAGAAUCUCGGUGUUUACCCUCCAUGCUCCCUAACUGAUCCCAGCUAUUUUUCAUUUCCUGGUUCAAAUCUCCUAUCCAUCAGUCAUGACCUUUGGCAGGACCCUGCUGUACUUGUAAAGGCAGGCUUACUGACCUGCUAGUAAACCUUGCAUGUCAGGCAUCCUAACACCACCAGUUCAAUGUCUCAUGCCUUACUUUGUUUUUAUGAUUAUGAAUUCAUCUUACAGAGGGCUCCUCACACAAUACAAUUAUAGGCUGCCACCAAACCUGGAUCUAGUCCUAUUUAGGUGAUGGGUCUUCCGAUUAUCUCUAGGUUGUGGGCAUGUUCUUAUUGCUAGGGAAAAUAAACACUGCAGUUCCAGAGAGAACUCUGAGUGUCCUCAAUCUCACAAACAUUGUUUUACGUACUUUAUAGGUUGAAUGGAUUUUUGCUCUUUGGCUUUAAAAAACAACCGCAUAACAAAUAAUUUGUAGACAAAUGGAUGGACUUGUAAGCCACUUCUAAACUGUAGGCUUCAAGGACUUAACUUUGAGAAAAAAACAGAAACCAUAGCCAUGCACACAGUUUUAUUACACCUGUGUAGAAACCUUUCUUAUGUACAAAUACUGACAUUUGUGACAAGGGACUCUUCAGUUAAAUCCAAACAAAAGCCACAGGCAUAGUAAGAUUCAAGUAGUCAUGCUUUGUAAUUACCACAAUCAGAUAGAUAAUCUAGAUUUUCUGAUAUAGUUUCCAUUGUAAAUAUGGAUUAGCUAUGAUCUCCUUGUGUAAUUCUGUUACCUCAUUGCCAUAAGCAGGGAACAGCCAAGUACCUAGCACACAGUAGGCAUUCAAUCAAUGUGUGUAAAAUAAAUGUUAGACUGGUAGACUAUGUAUUCUGCUUUUAGUUUUAAUACUGUGAUCAGUGCCAAUAUUUCUGUUGGCCACAUAUAAGGAAUAUAAAUUGGAGUUAUGUAUCUUUGAGGCAGGGUACUUUAUAGCCCAGGGUGAUCCUCCUGCCUCCGAUCCUUACCUCCCACUGCUUCCUCCAUACCCCGUUUCUGAGAUUGGGGGGUGUGCCUUUACACUCUGUGCAGUGCAGGGCAUCAAACCUAGGGCUUGAUGAAUACCAGCAAGCACUCUACCAGCUGGGCUACUUCCCAGCCUCUUCUAUUUUUUCCCAGUGAGAUUAGCAAUUAUGCAAAUUUGUAUGGAUUUCCAAUCUCAGUUACAAAAUAAACUGUCUUUGUCUUCAGUGGAAGGUA